This 3299-nucleotide long non-coding RNA is filed under the name Triticum aestivum (bread wheat). RNAcentral's name for it is "long non-coding RNA (TAES_LNC010491)". Lineage: Eukaryota; Viridiplantae; Streptophyta; Magnoliopsida; Poales; Poaceae. The record is from RNAcentral.
CUUGUCGUCUCGCAAAAUUAGGUGUCAUGUGCUUCAGAUCACUACGAGGGUUAAACAGCGAUGUAACGCCCUCGAUGCGGUUAUAUCUCCCACGUGUCGAAGCACGACUUAGAGGCAUAACCACAUUGAAAGCAAUGUCGCAAGUGAGGUAAUCUUCACACAACCCAUGUAAUACAUAAGGGAAAGAGAUACAUAGUUGGCUUACAAUCGCCACUUCACACAAUACAUGAAUAAAGCAUUACAACAUCCAAAUACAAUCAAGGUCCGACUACGGAACCAAAAUAAAAGAAGAACCCCAAAUGCGACAAAGGUCCCCGAUCGACCCCAACUGGGCUCCACUACUGAUCAACUAGAACGAAACAACACAAAGGACAAGAUCUUCAUCAAGCUCCUCCUGAGCUUGGUUGCGUCAUCUGCUCGGACUCAUCGGCACCUGCAAACUGGUUUUGGAAGUAUCUAUGAGUCACGGGGACUCAGCAGUCUCACACCCUCGCGAUCAAGACUAUUUAAGCUUAUGGGUAAGGUAAAGGUAUGAGGUCGAGCUGCAGCAAGCGAAUAGCAUAUAUGGUGGCUAACAUAUUCGCAAAAGAGAGCGAGAAGAGAAGGCAAAGCGCGGUCGAGAAGCUAUGAUCAAGAAGUGAUCCUAAAACAACCUACGUCAAGCAUAACUCCAACACCGUGUUCACUUCCCGGACUCCGCCGGAAAGAGACCAUCACGGUUACACACGCGGUUGAUUCAUUUUAAUUAAGUUAAGGUUCAAGUUAUCUACAACCGGACAUUAACAAAUUCCCAUCUGCCCAUAACCGCGGGCAUGGCUUUCGAAAGUUCUAAUCCCUGCAGGGGUGUCCCAACUUAGCCCAUGACAAGCUCUCACGGUCAACGAAGGAAUAGACCUCCUCCCGAGACAUUCCGAUCAGACUCGGUAUCCCGGUACUCCAAGACAUCCUCGUCAAUGGUAAAACAAGUCCAGCAAAGCAGCCCGAUGCGCCGACAUCCUGAUGGGAGCUGCACAUAUCUCGUUCUCAGGGCAACACCAGAUAGGUCAAGCUACGAGUAAAACCAACCCUCAAGUUUCACCGAGCUGGCCCCGCAGGCUGCCCAUUUCGGACCAACACUUAGACAAGCACUGGCCCGGGGGGGUUAAAAUAAGAUGACCCUCGGGAUGCGUGACUCCCAAGGGAAAAAGGCUAGGUGGCGAAUGGUAAAACCAAGGUUGGGCCUUGCUGGAGGAGUUUUAUUCAAAGCGAACUGUCAAGGGGUUCCCAUUAUAACCCAACCGCGUGAGGAACGCAAAAUCCGGGAACAUAACACCGAUAUGACGGAAACUAGGGCGGCAAGAGUGGAACAAAACACCAGGCAUAAGGCCGAGCCUUCCACCCUUUACCAAGUAUAUAGAUGCAUUAAUUAAAUAAGAUAUAUCGUGAUAUCCCAACAAAAUAUCCAUGUUCCAACAUGGAACAAGCUUCAAUCUUCACCUGCAACUAACAACGCUAUAAGAGGGGCUGAGCAAAGCGGUAACAUAGCCAAACAACGGUUUGCUAGGACAAGGUGGGUUAGAGGCUCGGUUUAACAAUAAGGGAGGCAUGAUAAGCAAGUGGUCGGUAUCGCAGCAUAGGCAUAGCAAAAGAGUGAGCAACUAGCAAGCAAAGAUAGAAGUGAUUUCGAGGGUAUGGUCAUCUUGCCUGAAAUCCCGCAAGGAAGAAGAACAAGUCCAUGAAGAAGUCAAACGGUUGUAGUCGAACGGUUCCUCACAACGCGACGUUAUCGGAACCAACCCGAAGAAACAACACUGGAAAGGAGCAAACAACAUAGUAAACAACCAACACAUGAACAUGGUAUGAUGCACAACCAAGUAUGAUGCAUGACCGGUUUAAUGAAGCAUGGCAUGGCAAAGUGCACAAGCAAUCCUACAAAUUAAGUGGAGCUCAAUAUGCAACGCGUUGCAUAUUGGCGAAACUCCACAUUCAAGUUAUUUAGUUCGAUCUCGUUUAUGUACCCAACAAGAUUAAAUGUUGAUAAACAUGGAAAGGGGUGAAGCACAACAAAACUACCUAUCUAGGCAAGUUCAAAUGAGGCCGGAAACAACGAACAACAAUUUCCGGAAACUCCUCAUAUGCAUAUAUUAGGUUCGGUAUUGUUCUGCCCUAAACUCAAUUUUAGGGUGGUUAAACAUGCAAGAUGAUGCCACCAUGUUAUACUAGGCAAAAUUCUACCCCAUUUACAUAUAAAGUUUGUUAGGUUUGGAGCUACGGUUGAAUAGUUAUGAAUUAAAUCAUUUUAACAUGGCAUAGGAGCAAAUUUAACCAAACAUCAUUUUAAAUAUUUUAAACAUAGAUGAAAAUGACAUAUUAUGAAACUAGACACAAUUUUAAGCAUUUUUCAUAUAUAAUGUUUUAACAUAUGAUGCACGGUUGUUGAGUUAUUAUAUGCAUGAAACAGGAGGGUUUUUCUGUAAAAACUGGUGUCUCUGGAAAAAGCUAAAAUUGCAGUCAGUGAAAAAAACAACAACGGGCCAAAAUCUGCUGGCCCAACCGGAGAAAAAAGAACACAAGGAGGGGCGCUGGAGGGGCGGCUCACCCAUGGGCUUCAGCCCAUGAGGAGGGAAGAGGCAGGACGAGGCUGGGCCGGUGGAGAUGGGCUUGGACGCGGUCGGGCCUAGGGGCGACGCUCCCCUCGUCGUCUCCUUCCUUCGACUGCAGGAGGCAGGAGGCCGUGGCGGUCAACGACGGCAGGGGAGGGUCUCCGGCGAUGCGGGCACGGUAGGGAUCGGCGGGAACGGACGGAUCCAGAGGAGAGGGUGCCGGAUCUGUCCUCGGAGGAGCUCCAAACAGCGUCGGGAGCGGAUCGGGGCAGCGGCGUGCUUCCUGUCGAAGUACAGAGAGAGAGAGAUGAGGAGAGAUCGAGAGAGAGAGAGAGAGAAAAGCAGAGCCAGGGAGACAGGCAGGCGCGAGCUCACCGGGACGGCGGCGCUCCGGCGCGGUGCUCGCCGAUGGUGGCGAGGCAGCAGGGUUCGAGGGGCAGCGCGGUGGAGGCGCUCGUGAGGUCGGGCGGCGGAGCGCGGGCCCGGUGCGGUCCGAUUCGGCCCCGGGGCGGGCCGGAUCUGGGCCCCGGGCGGCGGCGGCGAAGUGGGGUGCUGGCGGCGGUGACGUGGCGCCCCGCGGUUGGCUCGGGCGGGCGGCGAUGCUGAUGUGUCGUGACGUGAUUCGUCGGAGUAAGGUGGCUAGAGACGUUGGACACGUCGGUCCAGGACGGACAUGUCCGGCGGCGCGGUGGGAGGUGGAAGACUAGGGUUUCGUCC